AUGGUGAAUCUACAGGAUGGAUACGAAUUCAGAAUACAAAUUUUGGGACAACUAUUAACAUUCAAAGAGAAUGAUAUGAAGACAACAUGUCUGUUGGUGUCCUGGGAUUCAUCAGUUGUAUCUGGAAAAACCAAAGUAAAACUGGUACUCCGAUUUUUAUUCUACUUUUUUACAGAUAUAGAAAAGGUUGUACAUACCACAGAGAGUUAUCGUGUGUGGCUGACACAAACUCCAAAUGUGGCACCUCUUCUUAAAAGUUCACCGUAUGAACGAGGGACAUGCAUUUGCUUUGAUCCCAACCUUUGUGAUAUAGUUAGAAGGUUUCAUCAUAACAAAAAUUGUUAG
This 345-nucleotide ribosomal RNA is filed under the name Triticum aestivum (bread wheat). RNAcentral's name for it is "partial small subunit ribosomal RNA". Lineage: Eukaryota; Viridiplantae; Streptophyta; Magnoliopsida; Poales; Poaceae. The record is from RNAcentral.